AAGUCGUAACAAGGUUUCCGUAGGUGAACCUGCGGAAGGAUCAUUAACACGUAUCCACGUAUCAACCUAUGGCGCAUAAGUUUUACCUUCUCCCUCUAUAGCAGAGAACGAAUCGAGUCGACAGCAAAGUACGAGUGGGGUCCUCACAGGCCUAUCUGCUGUUCACCACUGAGGCUUCGGCCUCGACGAUUGCAUUUCUGUGGAGGCUAAUUUCUUUACUACUUGGGUUCCCAUCUCUGCCGUGGUAGUAAGGAUACUUAUUUCUAACUUAUCUCACCCCUUUUUGCUAGUUGACUUUUAUAUGUUGUUAUCUUUGCUGAAUUAAUUUUCUGUAACGAUCUCACACGUUUAAUUACUUGAACGUUAAAAAUACAACUCUUAGCAAUGGAUAUCUAGGUUCUC
This 402-nucleotide unclassified non-coding RNA is filed under the name fungal sp. Its description in RNAcentral is "partial internal transcribed spacer region". The stretch from base 1 to 46 matches the Rfam family "Eukaryotic small subunit ribosomal RNA", at positions 1786 to 1831 of the family's 1831-position model. The record is from RNAcentral. Lineage: Eukaryota; Fungi.